This 446-nucleotide ribosomal RNA is filed under the name uncultured bacterium. Its description in RNAcentral is "bacterial SSU rRNA". It matches the Rfam family "Bacterial small subunit ribosomal RNA", at positions 959 to 1409 of the family's 1533-position model. The record is from RNAcentral.
ACGCGAAGAACCUUACCUACCCUUGACAUGGCAGGAACUUACCAGAGAUGGUUUGGUGCCCGAAAGGGAACCUGCACACAGGUGCUGCAUGGCUGUCGUCAGCUCGUGUCGUGAGAUGUUGGGUUAAGUCCCGCAACGAGCGCAACCCUUGUCAUUAGUUGCUACGAAAGGGCACUCUAAUGAGACUGCCGGUGACAAACCGGAGGAAGGUGGGGAUGACGUCAAGUCCUCAUGGCCCUUAUGGGUAGGGCUUCACACGUCAUACAAUGGUCGGUACAGAGGGUUGCCAACCCGCGAGGGGGAGCCAAUCCCACAAAGCCGAUCGUAGUCCGGAUCGUAGUCUGCAACUCGACUACGUGAAGUCGGAAUCGCUAGUAAUCGCAGGUCAGCAUACUGCGGUGAAUACGUUCCCGGGCCUUGUACACACCGCCCGUCACACCAUGGGA